RNAcentral lists this ribosomal RNA (698 nucleotides) under uncultured Ochrobactrum sp. RNAcentral's name for it is "bacterial SSU rRNA". It matches the Rfam family "Bacterial small subunit ribosomal RNA", at positions 9 to 753 of the family's 1533-position model. The record is from RNAcentral. Lineage: Bacteria; Pseudomonadati; Pseudomonadota; Alphaproteobacteria; Hyphomicrobiales; Brucellaceae.
GAGUUUGAUCCUGGUUCAGAACGAACGCUGGCGGCAGGCUUAACACAUGCAAGUCGAGCGCCCCGCAAGGGGAGCGGCAGACGGGUGAGUAACGCGUGGGAACGUACCUUUUGCUACGGAAUAACUCAGGGAAACUUGUGCUAAUACCGUAUGUGCCCUUCGGGGGAAAGAUUUAUCGGCAAAGGAUCGGCCCGCGUUGGAUUAGCUAGUUGGUGAGGUAAAGGCUCACCAAGGCGACGAUCCAUAGCUGGUCUGAGAGGAUGAUCAGCCACACUGGGACUGAGACACGGCCCAGACUCCUACGGGAGGCAGCAGUGGGGAAUAUUGGACAAUGGGCGCAAGCCUGAUCCAGCCAUGCCGCGUGAGUGAUGAAGGCCCUAGGGUUGUAAAGCUCUUUCACCGGURAAGAUAAUGACGGUAACCGGAGAAGAAGCCCCCCGGCUAACUUCGUGCCAGCAGCCGCGGUAAUACGAAGGGGGCUAGCGUUGUUCGGAUUUACUGGGCGUAAAGCGCACGUAGGCGGACUUUUAAGUCAGGGGUGAAAUCCCGGGGCUCAACCCCGGAACUGCCUUUGAUACUGGAAGUCUUGAGUAUGGUAGAGGUGAGUGGAACUCCGAGUGUAGAGGUGAAAUUCGUAGAUAUUCGGAGGAACACCAGUGGCGAAGGCGGCUCACUGGACCAUUACUGACGCUGAGGUG